RNAcentral lists this ribosomal RNA (465 nucleotides) under uncultured bacterium. RNAcentral's name for it is "partial 16S ribosomal RNA". It matches the Rfam family "Bacterial small subunit ribosomal RNA", at positions 339 to 795 of the family's 1533-position model. The record is from RNAcentral.
CUACGGGCGGCUGCAGUCGAGAAUCUUUCGCAAUGGGGGAAACCCUGACGAAGCGACGCCGCGUGGGCGAUGAAGGCCUUCGGGUUGUAAAGCCCUGUCACGAGGGAAGAAUACACGAUGGUUAACUACCGGAGUGUUUGACUGUACCUCGAGAGGAAGCCACGGCUAACUCCGUGCCAGCAGGCCGCGGUAAUACGGAGGUGGCAAGCGUUGUUCGGAUUCAUUGGGUGUAAAGGGCAUGGAGGCGGCCCCUUAAGUCGAUUGUGAAAUCCCUUGGCUUAACCAAGGAACUGCGUUCGAUACUGGGGGGCUUGAGUGCAGAAGAGGAGAGCGGAAUUCCCGGUGUAAGAGUGACAUCUGUAGAGAUCGGGAGGAACACCAGUGGCGAAGGCGGCUUUCUGGUCUGUAACUGACGCUGAAAUGCGAAAGCUAGGGGAGCAAACAGGAUUAGAUACCCGCGUAGUC